UUCUUUUAGGCAGCAAUUAUACAAAAAUUGGACCUAUACAGAGAAGAUUAGCAUGGCCCCUGCAUAAGGAUGACAUGCAAAUUCAUAAAUCAUUUUAUAUUUUU
Small nuclear RNA from Talpa occidentalis (Iberian mole), 104 nucleotides. NCBI's taxonomy places the organism in Eukaryota, Metazoa, Chordata, Mammalia, Eulipotyphla, Talpidae. The record is from RefSeq and is a predicted model, not a curated record.